GAUGAACGCUGGCGGCGUGCCUAAUACAUGCAAGUCGAGCGAACAGACGAGGAGCUUGCUCCUCUGACGUUAGCGGCGGACGGGUGAGUAACACGUGGAUAACCUACCUAUAAGACUGGGAUAACUUCGGGAAACCGGAGCUAAUACCGGAUAACAUGUUGAACCGCAUGGUUCAACAGUGAAAGACGGUCUUGCUGUCACUUAUAGAUGGAUCCGCGCCGCAUUAGCUAGUUGGUAAGAUAACGGCUUACCAAGGCAACGAUGCGUAGCCGACCUGAGAGGGUGAUCGGCCACACUGGAACUGAGACACGGUCCAGACUCCUACGGGAGGCAGCAGUAGGGAAUCUUCCGCAAUGGGCGAAAGCCUGACGGAGCAACGCCGCGUGAGUGAAGAAGGUCUUCGGAUCGUAAAACUCUGUUAUUAGGGAAGAACAAAUGUGUAAGUAACUAUGCACGUCUUGACGGUACCUAAUCAGAAAGCCACGGCUAACUACGUG
Molecule: ribosomal RNA, 497 nt
Filed under: uncultured bacterium
Lineage: Bacteria
Description: partial 16S ribosomal RNA
Rfam family: Bacterial small subunit ribosomal RNA
Source: RNAcentral